CUUGGUGAUUGCAAAUACAUAACAGAAAGUUUGAUGUGGUCCAGAAACUGUUCUUUGUGCUUUCCAUGUAUUUACUUGUUACUCCAAUAUUAAUUAAUGCACUCAACAAACAUCAUGUUCAACCCAUACAUAGAUAAAAUGUAAUCCAGUAAUGCUGAUGGACAUUUUCACUUGCCUUUUGAUCCAGAGGACAUCUGACAUUGUAGUGCAUUCAAGACUUUUGGGAUUGAAUUCCGUGUCUCUUCAUGUUUCUCUAGCCUGGAGAGAAAUUUGACUAUCCUUGCUGGCUAAAUAGUUUUGGGGAAGUUGCUUAACCUAAUAAUUUGUUUGUUUCCUCAUCUGUAAAAAGGGAUGAUUACAUUAAUACUUACCUCAUAGCAUUGCAAUGAGUACCAUCUUAGUCCAUUUUCUGCUGCUUUAACAGAAUACUCAAGACUGGGUGGCCUUAUAAAGAAAAGAGAUUUAUUUUCACUUAGGGUUCUGAGGACUAGGAAGUCCAAGAGCACGAC
This 509-nucleotide long non-coding RNA is filed under the name Marmota monax (woodchuck). The record is from RNAcentral. Lineage: Eukaryota; Metazoa; Chordata; Mammalia; Rodentia; Sciuridae.